UACGGGGAACCUGAAAACCGCAUAAUAGAGUAGGGA
RNAcentral lists this non-coding RNA (36 nucleotides) under unclassified sequences. Its description in RNAcentral is "DUF805b RNA". It matches the Rfam family "DUF805b RNA". From Rfam's summary of the family: Bacteroidetes, Chlorobi (1 example), Proteobacteria. The record is from RNAcentral.